CAAACCACUUUAUAAAUAUUUCAUGUAGAAGGCAAAGAUAUGCAAAUACCUUGCUGAAAAAGCCUUAAAAUAAGCACUCAGAUUUGGAAAGGCGCAACACCUAGCAAACAAACGUACUAUUAAAAUUAAAGCUCUGCCUUCAUCCCCGGGCAGAACUAUAAACUUUUUAAUACUGCACCGGAUAAAUAUUUUAAACUUUCGUGUCUAAUAACCUAACGGUCAAGUUAUUCGGUUGCUGAAACUGAAGGUCAAGUUGUUUCACUGGUCUUUGGGCCCAACACCCCCACAGCGCUCCCCGCGCAGCACGGGCCGGGCCUGGCCGGAGCGCACCGCCCCGCCGCCGGGCCGGGAGGGGCUGGUCAGGAUAGGAAGGCCUCCCGCCGGCCGCCCAAAAGCGGCGGGCACGGAGCCGGUCGCGGGCACAAUGCACGGCAGCAGCGACCGCCUCUGCGCCGGAGCCACCCCCGCGGGGCGGACGGUUCCGGAGGAAGGGCGGCCCGGAGCGGCAGCGCCGCAGGGGCCGGGGCGGGCAGAGGGCGGCACCGUCCCGGGAGCGGUGAGGGACCCGCCGCCGCCACACACUUGCUCGCCGGGGAAGGGGCUGGGUGGCGGGCGGCGCCGUCCCUUCCCGCCCAGCAGCUGAGGCGCCGCGGCCCCGCGCCCCCUGAGCGACGGGCACGACGGGUCACGCGCCACGCGGGAACCGGCCGCAACCACUCACCCACGCCGCGCAGCACCGCCCCACCCCUCCCCUCCCGCCGCUGCCUUCAAAUCCGCACCUCCUUCCGGCCCGCCCCUCCCGCCGACACCUCGCGAGAACUCUCCCGUUCCGCCCCGCUGGAGACGCGCCGGGCGGUCACUAUGAUCUUCCACCAAGAAUUGAAACUUGGAAUUCCUUUCUGACCCCAAUUUCCCUGGUUUUGCUGGCACGGAACAAGAAUUUCAUCCACGGUUGGUGAAUUUUUCAAAGUGAACGAAAAAGGACAUUACAUAGGAGCUGGUGUAACUGGCACAUACCUAAUCCUGUCUUUUAGGAAAUGGGAACAACGAGAACAUACAAAAGGGAAAGGAUUUUUGUGCUGCUUCUCCUCUUCGGCACCUGCACAUGCUGGAGGCUGUGCACAUAUUGUGUCUCCCGUACUGCCGCUGCAGUGACUCUAAGUCAUAUUUGUAGCGAUAUGUUAUGUCAUCAGCACUACAAAAUUCCUGAACAUUUACUGGAAAUAUUAGACUUGCUCUUUCUGUAUUUGAACUUAUAAAUUGCAUCACAAAGUAUGAGGAGAAGACUUGCAACUGUAUUUGCAGCUGUAAAUUAAGAAAAAUAUGUGUAUAUCCAUGUUAUCUAUCCACUGAAGGAAGAAAACCCUCUCUCCUUAAUCAAAACCAAUGCAUCAGGUAGAUAUCUCUCUUUCUCAAAUGAUAAUGACAUGGUAUAAAUAUUCUUCUAUGAUAUAAAAAGGCAUGUGCCUGCCUCUCUGUCUCCUUGUAACAUUUCACCACCUUUUUCAUUCACUUAAAAUGUGUAGUAAUUUCCAAAUCACAGGGGAAAUUUGGUAUUAUUUGGGAUGGGCUAGGCAGAGUUAAAAUUAGCAAUUCCAAUCUGUUGCUUUAAUUAUUUUCUGUUUAACAGAAACUUCAGCCUUCCAGCGACUAGUGAGGCAGUAACAAGUGUGUACUCUCGUGACUGACUGACUGUGCCUCUAGUUUUUGUUGCUGUUUUCAAGGUAGUUGAAGAAGCAAUAUAUUUAUGGCAGAUCAGGUAAAUGAUAUGUCAGAGCACAUAAAGCUGUCUUAUACAAGCAUUCAUAAAAGACUUUUCUCCCAGUAACAAAUGGCAUCUAUGUCUCUUACAGCAGAGUAUAUCUUACUCUGAAUAUCUAAAUGAAACCUGCGAUUGUGCAGAGGAAAGAUUUUUGAAUGGUACAGAGGUCUGGACUAUUUUUUUCUCCUGAAGUACAGUGCUGCCUCAGUGGGCUGCUGAAGCAGUGUUUUCCUUUCAUUUUGCACUAUUUCAUAAUACAACUAUAAAAGGGAGUGUAACAACAUUCUUGCAUCAUAAAUGCUUCCUGUAAUGUAAUGCAUAUGAAGUCUAGUCUAUAAAAUUGCUAUGAAACAAGAAAUCUAGAUUUCAGCAAAAAUAAAACGGGUAUUUAUGUGGAAGGCUUGUUGUCAUUCUGUGUCCUUUGUUGUUGCUGGUGGCAGCUCAGAGGUUGACUAUAUUCAUUGUCACUGGUAUGCAGUACUGACAAGUCUGCCUGAUCCUGUACCCUUACGGUAAGUGCAGAUUUAGGCAGCCAGAGCUGAAAAAGCAAACCAGUGUUUUAUUUAACACGUCAUUAAAAUGACAUUUCUGUUGUCUAUAUAUUAGUGACUAUGAAACAAUGGUCUUGAUGUUUUUAAUUAGUUUCACAUAAACAACACUGAUAAACAGAAAUAAAUGCAGUUUAUGGAAUAGGUCAGUAAACUGCAUAUACAACAGGGAUUGCUGUUAGGAGUAGCAGGUGUUCCUGGUCAGUGGUUCCUGGUAUAAGCUGGUUUCAUUUACACAGACAUUUGUGACAGGAAUGUCCAUACUUCUGAAUGUCAGAAACUGUUGCUCGUGAAAUAUUACUACGUGAAAGUCAAGUAACAUAUCUUCUUUGAUUUUUGCCUUUUUGGUCCAUCUGUUUUAUCAUGUAAGAAGGUAAUAGAGUUAUGUGUAUCCCCCCUGCUUCUAACUGCAUUGUGCUGUAAGGCAGAAUAAAAUACUGUAAAUAUGGUUGUAAAUAGUUUCUCAGCAUUUUUGUUGGCUUCUUCCAGGGCUAGGAGAAAGAACUGACACUCACUGGGGAACUAGUAAUCUUCCAUUUUCCAUGUGGCAAAACUCUCAAUGUCAUAGUGGUUUUAGUUCAAUUUUUGAGCAGAAAUGUUAUCACAUACAUAUCUGUCUCACAAACCAGGGAGCAAGUUUUGUCAUUCCUAGAGCUUGUACAAGUUAGUGUAAUAUCUAGCAUAGGUGAUUUUAUAUUUGUAGGAACAGAAAACUUGUUCCUGAUCACUUGACCUAAGUAAAACAAAGGUGUGCAUUAUACAGGGCUGUGCAGUCUUAGCAUGAGGCCAUGGAAGAGGUAAGAGGGCAAAGGGGAAAAAAGCCAUCAAAGAUAUAUCAUAAAUUAAUAAACCACAUGUCUGUGUCUCCAGAUGUUAUUGCAAGGCUAACACCCCCACCCAUGUCAUGGUAUUAGUAUCUAUUGAUUCUUGUGAUGGUGAGAGUGACAGAAAUAGUGCACUGAAAAUGAAGACAGCCAGAAAACAACAUGUUUAAAAGCAGCAUUGGGCUGAUGGAGGAAGAAAAUUCAGAUGCCAAAGUUUAUAUCCUUAAAUGCAGCAGAAACGGACACACUUUUCUUUCUCACACAUACAUUGUACUUGGCAAAUACCAGAGCAAGCUGCCUUUUUCCCUUAUUUGAACCGGAAUGAGGGUUCUUGCUGGUAAACUGAAUGCUUUGCUGAAGGUAAGAGACAGAGAAGCUCUUAACGUUGGCCUGCUGUAGUGCAAGAGAACAGCUCUGUCGAUAUCUUGGUUUCCUGUGGGCUGCAUUCACUGAAGAAGGGAGUGGGAUACAUGUGGUCGGUGUUUGAAAUGCAAACAUGGCACAACAGUGCCUUGGAUUCCUUUGAUGUCCACCUGAGACUGAAAGGUUUGGGAAGCUUGGCUGGUGCAUCUGUCCCUUCAUGUGCUUCCAAGAGCCUGGCUCAGGACUUCUCACACACUGAAACAGUCCCUGAGGUGUCCUCUCCCUGGAAUUGUUCUGAUCAAAAGUCCAGUUUUGUGUGUCCAAAGGAGGGCGAGGAGAUUCUUGUUCAGUUAUUUUCAUGUUAUCCUCACAAGGUUGUCUUAUCUAAAGGAGCAGGUGUAAAACAGGGCUUGAAGCCUGGCCUAACUCCAAUGGCUGACCAGCUGGGAAAUGCAGAGUGAUCCUGGGCUUAGGGCAAUCCAGUACAACGGCAACGCAGGAGAGGGGACAGCAUGUUGAGUAAGUUAAAGUAACUUCUGUUUGUAAAUUUAGCACUGUGCACAUGAAGGAGAAGCAAGUAUUUUGCCAGGUGCUGAAGAACUGGAAAGGAUUUGUUGUAGAGAUACCAUAGUUACUACUGUAUGCAGAGCUGGAGCUGUAUGGGCUGGCAGGAGUUUGGCAGCAGGUAGCUGGCAGCCAGAAGAGGACUCUACGUUACCUACAUGUCAGUUUUUGCCAACACCUCCAACUGAACCCCAAAACUGGUUUUCAACAACGUUGCCAGCCUAUAAAGGUAACACCAGUCCAGAGCCAGUAGCCACUAGUUCAGCAAAAUAGCUCCCAGUUAGUCCCAAAACACAGAAUUCCCAGAACUUGGUACCUCUGUCUGUGCAUGUCUUGCAGCUGAUUUCUCUACCCUUGACAUCACUUACUGUCAUUGUUUGCUUUUGCUUAUUAUCUCCUGGAAUGUCUAUUUACCUGCCUGUUCUCAUAUGAACAGUGAUCUGUUUGGCUUGGGUCUCCAAGGGCUGUGACAAGUGGUGCUUGUACAUCAUUCAGUUAGUCUUCCUCAUUUGCUGAGAACACAUUUCUCACUCUUUUCUUUCUGCUCAUAGAAAUGUACAUAUAUUUCAUAGAUAGCUGAGUACACUUAGCCCUGGGUCAUAUAUAGGCCUUCAUUUCUCUGGUUCUCUUUUUUUGUAAGAAAUACCUUCAGCAGGGAUUAUUUGAUGCUUUUGUUUUUACAUAUUUUUUGUCUCAAAUCUCUAAAUCUCUUUCCAACACUCAUUUAAACUUUAAAAAAGUGGAAUAACAUGCAAGAGUUGAUCAGAUAACAUAAUUUCUGUAGUGCAGCUGUGCAUACCUGGUAGUCUUGAUAUUCAAUUCCAGUUAACAGGUUUUCCUGCAGCCAGGGGAUACUUCAGUGAAAGGAAUUCUCUUGCAACAACUGCAAACCAAAAAAAAAAAAAAAAAAGUCUCAACAAUAAGUAAUUGGGGUGACCUUGAGGAGUAUUUUCACAUGUUAGUUAACUUUUUAUCUAUUUUUUCCCCACUUAGACUGUCACGAAGCAGAGGAAUAAGAACUUAAUAGAUUAUAGACAACAUGUACAAGCAGUUUGUGUUUUCCUACAGUCCAUCUUUCUGCUGCGCUUGUGUGAGUGGUGUUUGGUCUCAGCAGAGAAACAGUAAUUUCACCAGCUCCUGUGGGCCCAAUUGCAGCCUGAAGCCAAUUUGUGCAUCUUCAGUGGAGCUCAUGUGGUCUGAAUCAGGGAUGGCAGAAGCAGCAGCCUCCUCUUCCUGUUUCUGAGCAAAAGAUGAAUGAGUGUGGUACCAGAUGAAAGGCAGUGGUAAAAAGCCGAAUGGCUAUGCAGAUACCUGAUGGAUCUGUUGGUUGUCAUGGCAGUCGGUGCAAAGGAGCAGAGCUAUCCCAGCCCCAUGCUGGGGGAAUUAAAAAUGAAAAUGAGAAAGAUUAGGUAAUUUAAUGUUGAUUUUUCUUAUGACUUCUACUUCCUUUGAGAAAAACAAAUACAAUAUUUUAAUGAGAAAAAAUAUAUCUCGGAUACUGUUGGUAUUUGGACAUGUCAGCAUUUUGCGUGACAGGUUAUUUCUAGCUUGACCGCAUUUCUGUUUAUAAACCAUCAUUAGAGGUUUAUAACGGAAGGAGAUGAUGCUCCAGGUGAUGGGUGCAUACUGCCUAUAUUGAUACUCCUUAGAAACUAGCCAAAUUUAACUUGGAUAUGUAAAUAAGAUUCUGUCAAUACACUAUGGUGUAUUACUGUCUGCCUGCCUGACCCCUUUCUGUGACUUCCUUCCCCCCAGCACAAUCGUCCAAAGCAUCGCCAGGAACUGCUCCUCCCCUGUAUCCAGCGCUGCAUGGCAUGUGCAGUCCAUAGGGUGCUCCAGCCCUCCUGACCUGCCUGCCUUUGGGCCAUGGCCGCAGCUUGAACCAGGCACCACACUCGGCACAUUGUUAUUUCCAACCUAAGCAUAGAUGCCAUGGAAGCCUCCCAGCUGGCAAUCAGGUCCCAAUCCAGAAGGACUUCCACCUUUCAGAAGUUCUCUGUUUUGUCUUCUGGCCCUGAACUAAUUUUUUGGAUACCUGCUAUCCAAAACAGCAGUUCUCACAUAUGUGUAGGAACCAGAUUGCUGUCUUGACGUCAGAUCGUAGAACAAAUAGAGAAGAAAUGGGCUAGUCCAGGAGCAAUCAAAUUUUUUGACAUCUUCAUAUGGCUAAAAGCCACCGGCACCUUUCCCUCUCUGUGCCCACCACCGUUGCCCCAGAGGGUACUCCUGCUGGGACUUCUUGUCUCCCACACACCUAACUACUGCCUAUCUACACACCUACCUCUUAGAACUCCUCAAACCACAUCUCUUUUCCUGCACCAUCGCUGCAGAUACCUUGGGCCUCCUUCUCCAUCCCAUCUUCCCUAGGCACUGGGAAUUUUCUGUUCUGUCUCAAUGAUCUCCAUAGGUCCCUGUGCCACAGAAGCUGCAUCCUGCAAGACUGCCAGCACCAUGGAGGCUCCAAACCUGCUGGUACCACAGCUAAGGUCAUCUUACAGAUUUGCCAUGACUUUCCCCCCUCCUCCUUGUAAUUUGGGAACUACAUGCAGAGGUUUGGGUUUUACCCAAAUACACUGUACUGCACUGGGUGCUUGCAGUCCCAUAACUGGGAGAAAUCUGACCAUGCUGAGUGGGAAAUAUAAAGUUCCCACAGGAUCCUGAGAGAAGAUGAGUGCUCCAUAGCUUUCCAUGGGUGACAGUUACUUUAAGUGAUAAUUCUGAUAUUCCACCCUGUGGUGUGAGAAGGUUCAGAGGCGUACCGUACAACAGAUACUCACUUGGGCAGAAGAUGGUGAAGUAGGCGGGUUUAAGGCCUCACACACUGAUGGGAGUCUUACAUUCUUACAUCCUGGUCACUAGACUCCAGAUAUUUUUAAAUAAUCUGUGGACGGUGAAUUAGAGUCAAAGAAUAUGGAAACAGGAAUAUUGGUGGUUUGACUACAACAUUCUUACAGCCUAAAUCUGCUCUGCAGUGCAAGAACAUAAAAACAUUAAGUGGUAACAAAUGUUGAUUUGACUCAUCUCCAGAUUACCAGCAGCAUGAUCCUACAGGAUUUCCUCUUCCCCAGGUGCAUUUGCAAAUGUGUAUUUACAUUUAUGCAAUAGAAUUCAGUGACAAGAAUGAUCUGAAAUGAAAUUAUGAAAUGCAUUACUUGGAACAGUCAGCUGCAGAAGGGAAACCGAGUAAGCAGAGAACAAUCUAUCCAGGAUGCUGCCAGGCUGGGCUGCAAAAAAAUGACAAUCUAUAUUCAUUAGAGAUAUUUAAUAAUUUUCUAAAAAACUAAAUGUAAAAAAUAUCUCAA
Falco peregrinus (peregrine falcon) is the source of this 7363-nucleotide long non-coding RNA. RefSeq lists it as uncharacterized. NCBI's taxonomy places the organism in Eukaryota, Metazoa, Chordata, Aves, Falconiformes, Falconidae. The record is from RefSeq and is a predicted model, not a curated record. The transcript is spliced from 5 exons.